AGGUUAAGCGUGGGGACUCUAGCGGGACUGCCACCGUAAGUGAGAGGAAGGUGGGAUGACGUCAAGUCCUCAUGGCCCUUAUAGGUGGGGCUACACACGUCAUACAAUGGCCGGUACAGAGGGUAGCCAACCCGCGAGGGGGAGCCAAUCCCGCAAAGCCGGUCGUAGUCCGGAUCGCAGUCUGCAACUCGACUGCGUGAAGUCGGAAUCGCUAGUAAUCGCGGAUCAGCAUGUCGCGGUGAAUACGUUCCCGGGUCUU
RNAcentral lists this ribosomal RNA (259 nucleotides) under uncultured Allobrachymonas sp. RNAcentral's name for it is "uncultured Brachymonas sp. partial 16S ribosomal RNA". It matches the Rfam family "Bacterial small subunit ribosomal RNA", at positions 1123 to 1382 of the family's 1533-position model. Lineage: Bacteria; Pseudomonadati; Pseudomonadota; Betaproteobacteria; Burkholderiales; Comamonadaceae. The record is from RNAcentral.